AAACUUUCAACAACGGAUCUCUUGGUUCUGGCAUCGAUGAAGAACGCAGGGAGAUAAGUAAUGUGAAUUGCAGAAUUCAGUGAAUCAUCGAAUCUUUGAACGCACAUUGCGCCCCUUGGUAUUCCGGGGGGCAUGCUUGUUCGAGCGUCAUU
Molecule: ribosomal RNA, 152 nt
Filed under: Proliferodiscus alboviridis
Lineage: Eukaryota; Fungi; Ascomycota; Leotiomycetes; Helotiales; Lachnaceae
Rfam family: 5.8S ribosomal RNA
About the family: 5.8S ribosomal RNA (5.8S rRNA) is a component of the large subunit of the eukaryotic ribosome. It is transcribed by RNA polymerase I as part of the 45S precursor that also contains 18S and 28S rRNA. Functionally, it is thought that 5.8S rRNA may be involved in ribosome translocation.
Source: RNAcentral